RNAcentral lists this ribosomal RNA (776 nucleotides) under Azadinium spinosum. RNAcentral's name for it is "partial large subunit ribosomal RNA". It matches the Rfam family "Eukaryotic large subunit ribosomal RNA", at positions 1 to 662 of the family's 3401-position model. The record is from RNAcentral. Lineage: Eukaryota; Dinophyceae; Gonyaulacales; Amphidomataceae.
GGCAUGAAGUUAGGUCAGCAAACCCGCUGAAUUUAAGCAUAUAAGUAAGCGGAGGACAAGAAACUAAACAGGAUUCCCUUAGUAAUGGCGAAUGAACAGGGAUGAGCUCAGCAUGGAAAUCGGGGUCUUCCGACCUUGAAUUGUAGUCUGUAGAUGCACUGCCAACGGAGGCGCAGAUGUAAGCCUCUUGGAAAAGAGCAUCAACGAGGGUGAGAGUCCCGUUUGUCAUCUGCAGUCCCCCGUGCACGGUGUGCCUUCUAAGAGUCACGUUCCUCGGGAUUGGAGCGCAAAGUGGGUGGUAAAUUUCAUCUAAAGCUAAAUAUUGGUUCGAGACCGAUAGCAAACAAGUACCAUGAGGGAAAGGUGAAAAGGACUUUGAAAAGAGAGUUAAAAGUGCCUGAAAUUGCUGAAAGGGAAGCGAAUGGAACCAGUGUUCUUGAUGAGAUUGUUGCGUACUCUGGUGAUUGCUGGGUGCUCCACCGCAAGGGGGGCAUCUAGUUUUGAGCUAGAUGUGCGUGGUGUUUCUUGUCUUGUGUGUCACCGUCGGUGCACGAGCGAGUAAACCUCCAGGGGGCUGGUAACUCGACCAUGGUUGAGUGAAUACCUCUGGCAGUACUCAUUUGUGUAUCGAUCCCUGCGUGUCUGGUUGCAGUGUUUGGGUCGCCUGGAAACUUCUGAUCAGCUCCAGCUGUGGCGAAGUCCUUUUGGGCGCCCUGAGCAUCUCCCUGACACAAAGACGAUGACUAAAUGGUUCUAUUCGACCCGUCUUGAAACAC